GAUGAAGAACGCAGCGAAAUGCGAUAAGUAAUGUGAAUUGCAGAAUUCAGUGAAUCAUCGAAUCUUUGAACGCACAUUGCGCCCGCCAGUAUUCUGGCGGGCAUGCCUGUUCGAGCGUCAUUUCAACCAUCAAGCCCUGCUUGCGUUGGGGUCCUGCGGCUGCCCGCAGGCCCUGAAAACCAGUGGCGGGCUCGCUAGUCACACCGAGCGCAGUAAUACAUCUCGCUUUGGGCGUGCGGCGGGUUCUUGCCGUUAAACACCCCCUUUUUACCAAGGUUGACCUCGGAUCAGGUAGGAAUACCCGCUGAACUUAAGCAUAUCAAUAAGCGGAGG
Molecule: unclassified non-coding RNA, 333 nt
Filed under: soil metagenome
Description: partial contains 5.8S ribosomal RNA, internal transcribed spacer 2, and large subunit ribosomal RNA
Rfam family: 5.8S ribosomal RNA (bases 1-120)
Source: RNAcentral